This 1113-nucleotide long non-coding RNA is filed under the name Sus scrofa (pig). RNAcentral describes it as "lncRNA (ENSSSCG00040021475.1)". Lineage: Eukaryota; Metazoa; Chordata; Mammalia; Artiodactyla; Suidae. The record is from RNAcentral.
UCUCAAUUUAUGAACCUCCUUGGCAGCCUUUGUUCUGCUCUCACAUGAGGCUCUGCCAAGUUUAUAAAUACUUCCUCUGAAUGACUAUAAAUUCGGUCUCCCUAAUCUUUCACUCCAUAGAUAAAAUCUCACUGAGGUUGCAGUACCACUGACGCUUAAACUGUUUUCUUGCUUGAUCUUAACACUCUAACCAAAUGGAUUUUGGGGGCCUCCUUUUCAUGGUUCACAGCUGCUUGACUCAAGGAUGUUUGCCUAGCCAUAUCCUGAAAGUUGGAAGCUAACCGGCUUGGAUGCCUGCCUCUCACACUGUUCCUUUCUGUGAAGUCAAGACCAUUGAUAAAAGCCAGACAGUUUACAGAAGGACCUAAAGAAGGUUAUUUCUCUGAACACUUGGCUGUACCUUCUCCAACAACAGAUGAAUUUACCAGAUGUAACAGAAGCGGUUCUUUUGUUUCUCAAGGAGGAUAAGAUUGCCUUUUGUUCUGAUGAACAGUGAAGAACUUUUAGUGAGAAAUCCACCGAAGGAAGAGGAGGGCUGCAGUGCAGGGCCGAAAGGCACGAUGGGAAUGACAAGAAUUGACAGCGCCAAGAGCAGGUGAGAGAGGCUUAUGCAGAAAUUUCCUGCCUUUAUGAAACUCCACAAUAUUCUGCUCCCCAAAAGUUAAAGAAUCAGUGCUUUUUUCUGCCAAGAAAGUAAGAACUUGUAGUUUGUGUCUCCACAGCUUCUGAUUAAGGCGAGGAUGCUGGUCAGCAAGGAAGCACCUUGGAGGUGCCAAGAACUCUUCGUAGAUGGUCCCUUUGUGGAGCAGUGAUGGAUUCGAGAAGGCUGUGAGAACAACACCACAGACUCAGGGGCUGAUGAACAAGAUGGCACCUGCCAUCUGCCAGACCCUGUGCUGGAUACAGUAGUGAGCAGGCAGCAGUCAGAGCCCAUCCUCACGGAGCCCAGUGGGGAAGCCACGUGAGUCAGGAUGAUCCGAGAAGGCUUGUCUCAGGAGUUAACUGGAUCAAAGGCACUAACUGGAUGACUACAUUUGGAGAUAACAUGGAGGUCACAUUUCGGGCUUCCUGUGCAGGGGAGACUCGGGCCCUCCCAGCCCUGCCGCCUCCCAC